This 465-nucleotide ribosomal RNA is filed under the name uncultured bacterium. Its description in RNAcentral is "partial 16S ribosomal RNA". It matches the Rfam family "Bacterial small subunit ribosomal RNA", at positions 28 to 507 of the family's 1533-position model. The record is from RNAcentral.
GACGAACGCUGGCGGCGUGCUUAACACAUGCAAGUCGAACGGUGAACUCCGCUUGCGGGGGGAUCAGUGGCGAACGGGUGAGUAACACGUGGGCAACCUGCCCUCAGCUCUGGGAUAACUCCAAGAAAUUGGGGCUAAUACCGGAUAUGACCGCUGACCGCAUGGUCUGGUGGUGGAAAGAUUUAUCGGCUGGGGAUGGGCCCGCGGCCUAUCAGCUUGUUGGUGGGGUAGUGGCCUACCAAGGCGACGACGGGUAGCCGGCCUGAGAGGGUGACCGGCCACACUGGGACUGAGACACGGCCCAGACUCCUACGGGAGGCAGCAGUGGGGAAUAUUGCGCAAUGGGCGAAAGCCUGACGCAGCGACGCCGCGUGGGGGAUGACGGCCUUCGGGUUGUAAACCUCUUUCAGCGGGGACGAAGCGAAAGUGACGGUACCUGCAGAAGAAGCACCGGCCAACUACGUG